UCCCUGUGGUCCACUGGUUAGAAUUCAGCACUUUCAGUGCUGUGGCCCAGGUUCAGUCCCUGGUCAGGGAA
This 71-nucleotide transfer RNA is filed under the name Bos taurus (domestic cattle). It matches the Rfam family "tRNA". Rfam says of the family: Transfer RNA (tRNA) molecules are approximately 80 nucleotides in length. Their secondary structure includes four short double-helical elements and three loops (D, anti-codon, and T loops). Lineage: Eukaryota; Metazoa; Chordata; Mammalia; Artiodactyla; Bovidae. The record is from Rfam by way of RNAcentral. RNAcentral also lists the same sequence under 3 other names.